AGUGAACGCUGGCGGUAGGCCUAACACAUGCAAGUCGAACGGCAGCACAGUAAGAGCUUGCUCUUACGGGUGGCGAGUGGCGGACGGGUGAGGAAUACAUCGGAAUCUACUUUUUCGUGGGGGAUAACGUAGGGAAACUUACGCUAAUACCGCAUACGACCUACGGGUGAAAGCAGGGGAUCUUCGGACCUUGCGCGAUUGAAUGAGCCGAUGUCGGAUUAGCUAGUUGGCGGGGUAAAGGCCCACCAAGGCGACGAUCCGUAGCUGGUCUGAGAGGAUGAUCAGCCACACUGGAACUGAGACACGGUCCAGACUCCUACGGGAGGCAGCAGUGGGGAAUAGUGGACAAUGGGCGCAAGCCUGAUCCAGCCAUACCGCGUGGGUGAAGAAGGCCUUCGGGUUGUAAAGCCCUUUUGUUGGGAAAGAAAAUCAGCAGGUUAAUACCCCGCUGUUCUGACGGUACCCAAAGAAUAAGCACCGGCUAACUUCGUG
This 492-nucleotide ribosomal RNA is filed under the name uncultured bacterium. RNAcentral's name for it is "partial 16S ribosomal RNA". It matches the Rfam family "Bacterial small subunit ribosomal RNA", at positions 29 to 507 of the family's 1533-position model. The record is from RNAcentral.